RNAcentral lists this ribosomal RNA (485 nucleotides) under uncultured bacterium. RNAcentral describes it as "partial 16S ribosomal RNA". It matches the Rfam family "Bacterial small subunit ribosomal RNA", at positions 28 to 523 of the family's 1533-position model. The record is from RNAcentral.
GACGAACGCUGGCUGCGUGCUUAACACAUGCAAGUCGAACGCUGAAGCCGACAGCUUGCUGUUGGUGGAUGAGUGGCGAACGGGUGAGUAACACGUGAGUAACCUGCCCCUGAUGUCGGGAUAAGCCUGGGAAACUGGGUCUAAUACCGGAUACGACCACGGAACGCAUGUUUCGUGGUGGAAAGUUUUUCGAUCGGGGAUGGGCUCGCGGCCUAUCAGCUUGUUGGUGGGGUAAUGGCCUACCAAGGCGACGACGGGUAGCCGGCCUGAGAGGGCGACCGGCCACACUGGGACUGAGACACGGCCCAGACUCCUACGGGAGGCAGCAGUGGGGAAUAUUGCACAAUGGGGGAAACCCUGAUGCAGCGACGCAGCGUGCGGGAUGACGGCCUUCGGGUUGUAAACCGCUUUCAGCAGGGAAGAAGCGAAAGUGACGGUACCUGCAGAAGAAGUACCGGCUAACUACGUGCCAGCAGCCGCGGUAA